CUACAAUGAUGGCAGUGUUAUUCAAUAGCAGCUCACCUAGUGAGUGUUCAUACUUUGGGUCUGAGUGA
Suricata suricatta (meerkat) is the source of this 68-nucleotide small nucleolar RNA. NCBI's taxonomy places the organism in Eukaryota, Metazoa, Chordata, Mammalia, Carnivora, Herpestidae. The record is from Ensembl.